GGCCUAACAUGGNNNUAANGGGUAACGGGAUGUUAGGGCACGACACCGGAGAGGGAGCCUGAGAAACGGCUACCACAUCCAAGGAUGGCAGCGGGCGCGCAAAUUACCCAAUCCCGACACGGGGAGGUAGUGACAAUAAAUAACAAUACGGGUUCUUUCGGAUUUCGUAAUUGGAAUGAGUACAAUUUAAAUCUCUUAACGAGGAACAAUUGGAGGGCAAGUCUGGUGCCAGCAGCCGCGGUAAUUCCAGCUCCAAUAGCGUAUAUUAAAGUUGCUGCAGUUAAAAAGCUCGUAGUUGAAUUUCGGGACCAAUAUGUCGGUCGUGCCUCGGUACGUACUGGCAUCGUUGGUUUCUCCCUUCUGACGAACCAUGAUGUCAUUUAUUUGGUGUCGUGAGGAAUCAGGACUGUUACUUUGAAAAAAUUAGAGUGUUUAAAGCAGGCUCACGCUUGAAUACAUUAACAUGGAAUAAUGAAAUAGGACGUUUGAUUCUAUUUUGUUGGUUUCCAGGAUCGACGUAAUGAUUAAUAGGGAUAGUUGGGGGCAUUAGUAUUCAAUUGUCAGAGGUGAAAUUCUUGGAUUUAUUGAAGACUAACUACUGCGAAAGCAUUUGCCAAGGAUGUUUUCAUUAAUCAAGAACGAAAGUUAGGGGAUCGAAGACGAUCAGAUACCGUCGUAGUCUUAACCAUAAACUAUGCCGACUAGGGAUCGGAUGAUGUUAAUUUUUUAAUGACUCAUUCGGCGCCUUACGGGAAACNAAGUGUUUGGGUUC
Molecule: ribosomal RNA, 772 nt
Filed under: uncultured Glomus
Lineage: Eukaryota; Fungi; Glomeromycota; Glomeromycetes; Glomerales; Glomeraceae
Description: SSU rRNA
Rfam family: Eukaryotic small subunit ribosomal RNA
Source: RNAcentral